GUGGGGAAUAUUGCGCAAUGGGGGCAACCCUGACGCAGCAACGCCGCGUGAGCGAUGAAGGUUUUCGGAUCGUAAAGCUCUGUUCUGAGGGAAGAUAAUGACGGUACCUCAGGAGAAAGCCCCGGCUAACUACGUGCCAGCAGCCGCGGUAAUACGUAGGGGGCAAGCGUUGUCCGGAUUCACUGGGCGUAAAGAGCACGUAGGCGGUUAAUUAAGUCAGGUGUGAAAGUUUUCGGCUCAACCGGAAAAGUGCACUUGAAACUGGAUAACUUGAGUAUCGGAGAGGUAAGCGGAAUUCCUAGUGUAGCGGUGAAAUGCGUAGAGAUUAGGAAGAACACCGGUGGCGAAGGCGGCUUACUGGACGAUAACUGACGCUGAGGUGCGAAAGCGUGGGGAGCGAACAGGAUUAGAAACCCUAGUAGUCC
Molecule: ribosomal RNA, 425 nt
Filed under: uncultured bacterium
Lineage: Bacteria
Description: bacterial SSU rRNA
Rfam family: Bacterial small subunit ribosomal RNA
Source: RNAcentral